Molecule: ribosomal RNA, 353 nt
Filed under: uncultured bacterium
Lineage: Bacteria
Description: bacterial SSU rRNA
Rfam family: Bacterial small subunit ribosomal RNA
Source: RNAcentral
GUGCCAGCCGCCGCGGUAAUACGGAGGAUCCGAGCGUUAUCCGGAAUUAUUGGGUUUAAAGGGUGCGUAGGCGGCCCGCUAAGUCAGUGGUGAAAGACGGUGGCUCAACCAUCGCAGUGCCUUUGAUACUGGCGGGCUUGAAUGUACUUGGGGCAGGCGGAAUGUGGCAAGUAGCGGUGAAAUGCAUAGAUAUGCCACAGAACACCGAUCGCGGAGGCAGCUUACCAAGGUAUGAUUGACGCUGAGGCACGAAAGCGUGGGAUCGAACAGGAUUAGAUACCCUGGUAGUCCACGCCCUAAACGAUGAACACUCGAUGUCGGCGAUAGACAGUCGGCGUCCAAGCGAAAGCGUU